Molecule: ribosomal RNA, 492 nt
Filed under: uncultured bacterium
Lineage: Bacteria
Description: partial 16S ribosomal RNA
Rfam family: Bacterial small subunit ribosomal RNA
Source: RNAcentral
AGUGAACGCUGGCGGUAGGCCUAACACAUGCAAGUCGAACGGCAGCACAGUAAGCGCUUGCUCUUACGGGUGGCGAGUGGCGGACGGGUGAGGCAUACAUCGGAAUCUACUUUUUCUUGGGGGAUAACGUAGGGACACUUACGCUAAUACCGCAUACGACCUACGGCUGAAAGCAGGGGAUCUUCGGACCUUGCGCGAUUGCAUGAGCCGAUGUCGGAUUAGCUAGUUGGCGGGGUAAAGGCCCACCAAGGCGACGCUCCGUAGCUGGUCUGAGAGGAUGAUCGGCCACACUGGAACUGAGACACGGUCCAGACUCCUAAGGGAGGCAGCAGUGGGGAAUAUUGGACAAUGGGCGAAAGCCUGACGCAGCCAUGCCGCGUGAGUGAAGAAGGCCUUCGGGUUGUAAAGCCCUGUUGUUGGGAAAGAAAAGAAGCAGGUUAAUACACCGAUGUUCUGACGGUACCCAAAGAAUAAGCACCGGCUAACUUCGUG